Molecule: ribosomal RNA, 253 nt
Filed under: uncultured bacterium
Lineage: Bacteria
Description: partial 16S ribosomal RNA
Rfam family: Bacterial small subunit ribosomal RNA
Source: RNAcentral
UACGAAGGGGGCUAGCGUUGCUCGGAAUCACUGGGCGUAAAGCGCACGUAGGCGGCCUCUUAAGUCAGGGGUGAAAUCCUGGAGCUCAACUCCAGAACUGCCUUUGAUACUGGGAGUCUUGAGUUCGGGAGAGGUGAGUGGAACUGCGAGUGUAGAGGUGAAAUUCGUAGAUAUUCGCAAGAACACCAGUGGCGAAGGCGACUCACUGGCCCGAUACUGACGCUGAGGUGCGAAAGCGUGGGGAGCAAACAGG